RNAcentral lists this ribosomal RNA (660 nucleotides) under Roseovarius sp. RNAcentral describes it as "bacterial SSU rRNA". It matches the Rfam family "Bacterial small subunit ribosomal RNA", at positions 38 to 746 of the family's 1533-position model. Lineage: Bacteria; Pseudomonadati; Pseudomonadota; Alphaproteobacteria; Rhodobacterales; Roseobacteraceae. The record is from RNAcentral.
GAAGGCGGGCAGCUACACAUGCAGUCGAGCGAACCUUCGGGUUAGCGGCGGACGGGUGAGUAACGCGUGGGAACGUACCCUCUUCUGCGGGAUAGCCACUGGAAACGGUGAGUAAUACCGCAUACGCCCUUCGGGGGAAAGAUUUAUCGGAGGAGGAUCGGCCCGCGUUGGAUUAGGUAGUUGGUGGGGUAAUGGCCUACCAAGCCUACGAUCCAUAGCUGGUUUUAGAGGAUGAUCAGCCACACUGGGACUGAGACACGGCCCAGACUCCUACGGGAGGCAGCAGUGGGGAAUCUUAGACAAUGGGCGCAAGCCUGAUCUAGCCAUGCCGCGUGAGUGACGAAGGCCUUAGGGUCGUAAAGCUCUUUCGCCAGAGAUGAUAAUGACAGUAUCUGGUAAAGAAACCCCGGCUAACUCCGUGCCAGCAGCCGCGGUAAUACGGAGGGGGUUAGCGUUGUUCGGAAUUACUGGGCGUAAAGCGCACGUAGGCGGAUUGGAAAGUUGGGGGUGAAAUCCCAGGGCUCAACCCUGGAACUGCCUCCAAAACUCCCAGUCUGGAGUUCGAGAGAGGUGAGUGGAAUUCCGAGUGUAGAGGUGAAAUUCGUAGAUAUUCGGAGGAACACCAGUGGCGAAGGCGGCUCACUGGCUCGAUACUGACGC